CAGUCGCCGCGGUAAUGCGAAGGGGGCUAGCGUUGUUCGGAUUUACUGGGCGUAAAGGGCGCGUAGGCGGACUGAUAAGUCAGGGGUGAAAUCCCAAGGCUCAACCUUGGAACUGCCUUUGAUACUGUCUGUCUUGAGUUCGAGAGAGGUAAGUGGAACUGCGAGUGUCGAGGUGAAAUUCGUAGAUAUUCGCAAGAACACCAGUGGCGAAGGCGGCUUACUGGCUCGAAACUGACGCUGAGGCGCGAAAGCGUGGGGAGCAAACAGGAUUAGAUACCCCAGUAGUCCCUGUCUCUUAUAC
RNAcentral lists this ribosomal RNA (301 nucleotides) under uncultured bacterium. RNAcentral describes it as "partial 16S ribosomal RNA". It matches the Rfam family "Bacterial small subunit ribosomal RNA", at positions 509 to 807 of the family's 1533-position model. The record is from RNAcentral.